RNAcentral lists this ribosomal RNA (133 nucleotides) under uncultured bacterium. RNAcentral describes it as "partial 16S ribosomal RNA". It matches the Rfam family "Bacterial small subunit ribosomal RNA", at positions 356 to 489 of the family's 1533-position model. The record is from RNAcentral.
CACGAAUCAUUGGCAAUGCACGCAAGUGUGACCAUGCCACGCCGCGUGGACGAUGAAGGCCUUGGUUGUAAAGUCCUGUCAGGGGUGAGGAACCGCACCGGUCUACCGGUGCCUGACGUUAGCCCCAGAGGAA